ACCCGUGGCGGCGGGUAUAAAUAGCCAGUUAAGCCGCCAGCGCUCCCAGGGUGUAAAGCCCUGGGAAGUCUGG
Molecule: ribozyme, 73 nt
Filed under: unclassified sequences
Description: pistol ribozyme
Rfam family: Pistol ribozyme
Source: RNAcentral